This 73-nucleotide transfer RNA is filed under the name Deinococcus arboris. It matches the Rfam family "tRNA". Rfam says of the family: Transfer RNA (tRNA) molecules are approximately 80 nucleotides in length. Their secondary structure includes four short double-helical elements and three loops (D, anti-codon, and T loops). The record is from Rfam by way of RNAcentral. Lineage: Bacteria; Thermotogati; Deinococcota; Deinococci; Deinococcales; Deinococcaceae.
AGCGCCUUAGCUCAAUUGGAAGAGCAUCAGAUUUUGGAUCUGUUGGUUCCACGUUCGAAUCGUGGAGGCGCUG